Molecule: ribosomal RNA, 90 nt
Filed under: Amylostereum areolatum
Lineage: Eukaryota; Fungi; Basidiomycota; Agaricomycetes; Russulales; Stereaceae
Description: partial 5.8S ribosomal RNA
Rfam family: 5.8S ribosomal RNA
About the family: 5.8S ribosomal RNA (5.8S rRNA) is a component of the large subunit of the eukaryotic ribosome. It is transcribed by RNA polymerase I as part of the 45S precursor that also contains 18S and 28S rRNA.
Source: RNAcentral
UGGAAUUGUAGAAUUCUGUGAAUCAUCGAAUCUUUGAACGCACCUUGCGCCCCUUGGUAUUCCGAGGGGCACACCUGUUUGAGUGUCGUG